GUCCGGGGCUCCUCGCGCACAGCGAGGUCUCCGGGAAACCUAUCCGCCCUGAAAUCCUAGGCUGCCUCUCUCUGCUCCCCUUCACCGGGCACAGUUCACCACGCCCCGAGGCCUGGACUCUCCUCCCACCGCCAGACGUCUGUAACAGAGGAGGAAACAUCGCGGAGAUGACGUCACCUCGAAGCCACAUUACAGGUUGGCCAUUGCCGCUGUCCCCACCGCAGGAAGCAGACACUGAGAUCAAGUUGCUUGUGUGACAUCAAAGAGCAAUGAGUGACCUUGUUCUCUGGACCACAUUACUAGGAAAGCACCGAGGUGGGACCGGGAUAAUCAGAAAGGCUUCCCCGGAGGAGGUGACUUUAAUUCGGGUUUCAAUGACUGAAUAGGAGUUCUGAAAUUUAAGGAGUAAAUAAUGGAACCAAAGAGAAGUCCAUAAACCAAAGCAUAAGGGGCUAGAAGAGCCCAGCAAGGACUUUCCCAGUCCAUCCGGAGCACCCAGGUGGGCAUCGUGCCGCUAUUUGACAGAAGAGGCCAGACAGGCAGUCAGACUGUGAAAGUAAACUUUGUCCACAUUUUUGUGAUGACUGAUUUUUUUCCAGUACUGGAUACUGAACCCAGGGCCUUUGCACUAACCUACACUCUAGCCCUUUAUUUUUUAUUUCAAGAUAAUGUCUCACCUAGUUGCCCAGGCUGAAGAAGUUGCUGCCACUCCCUACCCCACCUCUUGGGAUGCUCUUCCCACUGCCCAGCGCCUGC
Molecule: long non-coding RNA, 756 nt
Filed under: Heterocephalus glaber (naked mole-rat)
Lineage: Eukaryota; Metazoa; Chordata; Mammalia; Rodentia; Bathyergidae
Description: lncRNA (ENSHGLG00000050074.1)
Source: RNAcentral